AGCAGCCGCGGUAAUUCCAGCUCCAAUAGCGUAUAUUAAAGUUGUUGCAGUUAAAAAGCUCGUAGUUGAAUUUCGGGAUCAACAUGUCGGUCGUGCCUCCGGUACGUACUGGCAUCGUUGAUUUCUACCUUCUGACGAACCAUGAUGUCAUUAAUUUGGUGUCAUGGGGAAUCAGGACUGUUACUUUGAAAAAAUUAGAGUGUUUAAAGCAGGCACACGCUUGAAUACAUUAGCAUGGAAUAAUGAAAUAGGACGUUUGACCCUAUUUUGUUGGUUUCUAGGAUCGACGUAAUGAUUAAUAGGGAUAGUUGGGGGCAUUAGUAUUCAAUUGUCAGAGGUGAAAUUCUUGGAUUUAUUGAAGACUAACUACUGCGAAAGCAUUUGCCAAGGAUGUUUUCAUUAAUCAAGAACGAAAGUUAGGGGAUCGAAGACGAUCAGAUGCCGUCGUAGUCUUAACCAUAAACUAUGCCGACUAGGGAUCGGAUGAUGUUAAUUUUUUAAUGACUCAUUC
RNAcentral lists this ribosomal RNA (511 nucleotides) under uncultured Glomus. RNAcentral's name for it is "SSU rRNA". It matches the Rfam family "Eukaryotic small subunit ribosomal RNA", at positions 569 to 1081 of the family's 1831-position model. Lineage: Eukaryota; Fungi; Glomeromycota; Glomeromycetes; Glomerales; Glomeraceae. The record is from RNAcentral.